Molecule: non-coding RNA, 36 nt
Filed under: Schistosoma margrebowiei
Lineage: Eukaryota; Metazoa; Platyhelminthes; Trematoda; Strigeidida; Schistosomatidae
Source: RNAcentral
AUUCAGCUGACGAGUCCCGAAACGCGCUUCCUGGAU